GGCCCUCAAGCUCAUUAGGUAUGAGCAAUCGACUCAUAAUCGAGAGGUAGGCAGGUUCGAAUCCUCCGGGGGCCACCA
This 78-nucleotide transfer RNA is filed under the name Proteus phage Mydo. Its description in RNAcentral is "tRNA-Met". It matches the Rfam family "tRNA". Rfam says of the family: Transfer RNA (tRNA) molecules are approximately 80 nucleotides in length. Their secondary structure includes four short double-helical elements and three loops (D, anti-codon, and T loops). Further hydrogen bonds mediate the characteristic L-shaped molecular structure. tRNAs have two regions of fundamental functional importance: the anti-codon, which is responsible for specific mRNA codon recognition, and the 3' end, to which the tRNAs corresponding amino acid is attached (by aminoacyl-tRNA synthetases). tRNAs cope with the degeneracy of the genetic code in two manners: having more than one tRNA (with a specific anti-codon) for a particular amino acid; and 'wobble' base-pairing, i.e. permitting non-standard base-pairing at the 3rd anti-codon position. RNAcentral also lists the same sequence under 5 other names. The record is from RNAcentral. Lineage: Duplodnaviria; Heunggongvirae; Uroviricota; Caudoviricetes.